AUGGCAUCGCUCCUUCCCGGGCCAGGCUCCUGGAGCGAGCCCUGGCACAGGAAGAGGCCAGGGCACUGCAGGGCACCAGCCACGGUGCCUGGGAAUGCAGCUGGGACCCGUGCGUGUCCCCGGCCGCGGGCAUCGGGCUCUGGGCACGCACCGGGGGCAGCCGCCGGCCCAGCCCAUCCCGCCCCGGGCACAGCGGAGCCGCGGCCGUGUGUCCCUGCGGGCAAAGGGCACGGCGGGCAGGGCAGGGACCCGCCAGGCAGGGGCAGUGCCAAGGUCCGAAGAGCCUCGCGGUGCCCGAGGGCGUCAUGCCCGGGGCCGGGGCCGCUGGAUGUCACCCUUGUGCCGUGCGUGCCCGGGCCGUCCCCUCCGCGGGCAGCGGGCUGGCUGCGCACACGCGUGUGCCCGCGCCCCGCUCUGUGCGCACACGCACAGGCACGCGGGGCCCUGCAGCUCCGUGCCGCGGCAUUUCCCAACUCCUGGCUGGAGCAGCGCCCCUGCAGCCCCCCCGCGCCCUGCCCCGACCUUUGCACGAAUCCCCCGGGCGGCCGCGGGGAGGCUAUAAAGGGUGAGCCCGGGGCUGCCCCGCGUCAGAGCCCGGCACAGGUGAGUGGGGACAUCCCCGGCGAGGGUCGUGCUGUAAGGGGACGGGGUCGGGACCCCCGUGCCCCACAUCGUGCGCUCUGCUCUCUCCGCAGCCAUGAAGGCGUCACUGCUGUUCCUGCUCGCCUGCACGGCCGUCCUGGCGCUGGGAGCAAGGGCCGACUCGUCCGAGGACUCGAAGGCGCUGGUGCAGAAGGUGCAGGAGCUGGCCCAGAAAGUCUCGGCCAUGACCAAGGACGCCUUCAGCAGGGUGCGGGAGUCGGAGGCGGCGCAGCAGGCCAGGUGCCCCCCAACCCCAGCCCUGUCGCUGUCCCCGGUGCCGGGGGACCCGGCCAGGGCCCCGCGCUCACCCCCUGCCCUCCUCUCCCUCCCGGUGCAGGCAGUGGCUGUCGGACAACGCGGAGCUGGCCAAGCAGCGGCUGCUGUGGCUCAAGGAGCAGCUGGCCGAGCUCCUGAAGAAGACUCCGGCCUCGUAGCCUCGCCGGGGACUGCCCGGGCUCUGUCGGGGCUGGGGACCCCCGGCUGGGGACCCCCGGCUCCCCCCGCUGUCGCGGUGCUCUCAAUAAAGCGGGGCUGAUGCAAACGCUGUGCUGCCAUCACUGCGGGCGGGCCGGGAGGAGCGGGACCCGCAGGGGGAG
This is a long non-coding RNA of Camarhynchus parvulus, 1238 nucleotides long. The record is from Ensembl. Lineage: Eukaryota; Metazoa; Chordata; Aves; Passeriformes; Thraupidae.